AUGGAGCUGAUUCUCACUAGUUGUAAUUGGGUGGCGAUCGUUCACACAGUUGUUCUGACCAGUAAUGGGAUGCUAAUUCAUCCUAACGAUUGCAUCUUCAACGACGCGCGCCCAUCCAUCCUAACGUUAGUUCACGGCAUCAAGGAGGAGGCCAAACUUUGGGCUCUGGCAGGCGAUGCUGGACUUAGAGUAGUCCGGCCCCCGACCUGGGAUGUGGUUGUCAAGGAAGAAUUUCCUAGAGCAGCUGCUAUUGGAGAAUUCAGGGAUGAAACUAGGUUUCUGUGA
Molecule: ribosomal RNA, 285 nt
Filed under: Triticum aestivum (bread wheat)
Lineage: Eukaryota; Viridiplantae; Streptophyta; Magnoliopsida; Poales; Poaceae
Description: partial small subunit ribosomal RNA
Source: RNAcentral